This 345-nucleotide unclassified non-coding RNA is filed under the name soil metagenome. Its description in RNAcentral is "partial contains 5.8S ribosomal RNA, internal transcribed spacer 2, and large subunit ribosomal RNA". The stretch from base 1 to 119 matches the Rfam family "5.8S ribosomal RNA", at positions 35 to 154 of the family's 154-position model. The record is from RNAcentral.
GAUGAAGAACGUAGCGAAAUGCGAUAAGUAGUGUGAAUUGCAGAAUCCGUGAGUCAUCGAAUCUUUGAACGCACAUUGCGCCCCCUGGUAUUCCGGGGGGCAUGCCUGUCCGAGCGUCAUUGCUGCCCUCAAGCACGGCUUGUGUGUUGGGCCCCGUCCUCCGAUCCCGGGGGACGGGCCCGAAAGGCAGCGGCGGCACCGCGUCCGGUCCUCGAGCGUAUGGGGCUUUGUCACCCGCUCUGUAGGCCCGGCCGGCGCUUGCCGAUCAACCCAAAUUUUUAUCCAGGUUGACCUCGGAUCAGGUAGGGAUACCCGCUGAACUUAAGCAUAUCAAUAAGCGGAGGA